GUGAAUUGAAUAUGUUAGCGGACCUCUUCGGAGUCCCUAGCAUCAAAUCAUAUCCAUAACACCUGGUGAACUGUAAGGCUGUCUUGAAAACGAAAGUGAUUAGAGCGCCUGCCCCAUUUUAUACCAACAUUAAAGUAACCAAACGUAGUCUUAUUAUAAUCUAAUA
Molecule: unclassified non-coding RNA, 166 nt
Filed under: soil metagenome
Description: partial internal transcribed spacer 1
Source: RNAcentral